This 492-nucleotide ribosomal RNA is filed under the name uncultured bacterium. RNAcentral describes it as "partial 16S ribosomal RNA". It matches the Rfam family "Bacterial small subunit ribosomal RNA", at positions 29 to 507 of the family's 1533-position model. The record is from RNAcentral.
AGUGAACGCUGGCGGUAGGCCUAACACAUGCAAGUCGAACGGCAGCACAGUAAGAGCUUGCUCUUACGGGUGGCGAGUGGCGGACGGGUGAGGAAUACAUCGGAAUCUACUUUUUCGUGGGGGAUAACGUAGGGAAACUUACGCUAAUACCGCAUACGACCUACGGGUGAAAGCAGGGGAUCUUCGGACCUUGCGCGAUUGAAUGAGCCGAUGUCGGAUUAGCUAGUUGGCGGGGUAAAGGCCCACCAAGGCGACGAUCCGUAGCUGGUCUGAGAGGAUGGUAAGCGACACGGGAAGUGAGACGCGGUCAAGAGUACUACGGGAGGCAGCAGUCGGGAAGAUUGGACAAUGGGCGCAAGCAUGAACCAGCGAUAGCGAGUAGGUGAAGAAGGCGUUCGGGUGGGAAAGCCCGUUUGUGGGGAAAAAAAAGCAGCAGGUUAAUACCCCGCUGUACUGACGGUAACGAAAGAAUAAGCACCGGCUAACUUCGUG